GUUUUCAGAAAAUCUGGAGACGAAAGGUUUGCUAGCAUUUCUUCUUCAAGUAAUCAACAAACUUCUUCGGUUGGAGUCAACCCUUAUCCAACUAUGCCACCGCUUUCCUCUCAAAUAGGGUUGCCACUUUUCUGGAUUAGAGUAGGUGUUGGGCUCUCAGCACGUUUUACAUGGGUAGCUUCAAGCUUAAA
Molecule: long non-coding RNA, 191 nt
Organism: Hibiscus syriacus
Lineage: Eukaryota; Viridiplantae; Streptophyta; Magnoliopsida; Malvales; Malvaceae
Exons: 3
Source: RefSeq, a predicted model, not a curated record